GACGAACGCUGGCGGCGUGCCUAAUACAUGCAAGUCGAACGCACUCUCGUUUAGAUUGAAGGAGCUUGCUCCUGAUUGAUAAACAUUUGAGUGAGUGGCGGACGGGUGAGUAACACGUGGGUAACCUGCCCUAAAGUGGGGGAUAACAUUUGGAAACAGGUGCUAAUACCGCAUAAAACCUAACACCGCAUGGUGUAGGGUUGAAAGAUGGUUUCGGCUAUCACUUUAGGAUGGACCCGCGGUGCAUUAGUUAGUUGGUGAGGUAAAGGCUCACCAAGACCGUGAUGCAUAGCCGACCUGAGAGGGUAAAUCGGCCACACUGGGACUGAGACACGGCCCAGACUCCUACGGGAGGCAGCAGUAGGGAAUCUUCCACAAAUGGACGAAAGUCUGAUGGAGCAACGCCGCGUGAGUGAAGAAGGUUUCGGAUCGUAAAACUCUGUUGUUGGAGAAGAAUGUAUCUGAUAGUAACUGAUCAGGUAGUGACGGUAUCCAACCAGAAAGCCA
This 507-nucleotide ribosomal RNA is filed under the name uncultured bacterium. RNAcentral's name for it is "bacterial SSU rRNA". It matches the Rfam family "Bacterial small subunit ribosomal RNA", at positions 28 to 493 of the family's 1533-position model. The record is from RNAcentral.